Molecule: non-coding RNA, 30 nt
Organism: Natrinema sp.
Lineage: Archaea; Methanobacteriati; Methanobacteriota; Halobacteria; Halobacteriales; Natrialbaceae
Source: Rfam
GUUUCAGCAGGACCCUGGUAGGGUUGAAGC